GCUUACGGCCAUACCACCCUGAACACGCCCGAUCUCGUCCGAUCUCGGAAGCUAAGCAGGGUCGGGCCUGGUUAGUACUUGGAUGGGAGACCGCCUGGGAAUACCAGGUGCUGUAAGCU
This is a ribosomal RNA of Dicentrarchus labrax (European seabass), 119 nucleotides long. NCBI's taxonomy places the organism in Eukaryota, Metazoa, Chordata, Actinopteri, Moronidae. The record is from Ensembl.